Molecule: long non-coding RNA, 389 nt
Organism: Mesocricetus auratus (golden hamster)
Lineage: Eukaryota; Metazoa; Chordata; Mammalia; Rodentia; Cricetidae
Exons: 3
Source: RefSeq, a predicted model, not a curated record
UCCUACCAGGAAGUGAGUUUACACUGAAGAGAGUGUUGGUGGCCAUACCUCCUGCUCCCCACCUCGUCUCUGCCUCCUGCCUGGGAGUCUAAUAGUCUACCUACAGGCAAGCUGCUUAUCCUUCCACAAAAAUGGCGGAGUGCACCACACACAAGAUAUCAGAUGAGCGCCACUCAGUGAAUACACCAUAUGAACCAAAUGGGACGUGAGGUUCAUCGUAAUCCCGAGCACAGCCAUGAGGACUUGCAAAGAGGGAAGCCUGCAAUUGAAAGGCUCUAUCUCAGUGAUUCUCAACAUGUCGGUCGCAACCCACUGGGCAACCUUUUCUCUCCAAAAAUAUUUACAGUCUGAUUUGUGACAAUAGCAAAAUUACAGUUAUGAAGUAGCAA